GCCGAUGUAGCUCCAACGGCAGAGCAACUCAUUCGUAAUGAGUAGGCUGCUGGUUCGAAUCCAGUCAUCGGCACCA
RNAcentral lists this transfer RNA (76 nucleotides) under Erysipelothrix sp. Its description in RNAcentral is "tRNA-Thr". It matches the Rfam family "tRNA". From Rfam's summary of the family: Transfer RNA (tRNA) molecules are approximately 80 nucleotides in length. Their secondary structure includes four short double-helical elements and three loops (D, anti-codon, and T loops). Further hydrogen bonds mediate the characteristic L-shaped molecular structure. tRNAs have two regions of fundamental functional importance: the anti-codon, which is responsible for specific mRNA codon recognition, and the 3' end, to which the tRNAs corresponding amino acid is attached (by aminoacyl-tRNA synthetases). tRNAs cope with the degeneracy of the genetic code in two manners: having more than one tRNA (with a specific anti-codon) for a particular amino acid; and 'wobble' base-pairing, i.e. permitting non-standard base-pairing at the 3rd anti-codon position. The record is from RNAcentral. Lineage: Bacteria; Bacillati; Bacillota; Erysipelotrichia; Erysipelotrichales; Erysipelotrichaceae.